UACAGAGGAUGCAAGCGUUAUCCGGAAUGAUUGGGCGUAAAGCGUCUGUAGGUGGCUUUUUAAGUCCGCCGUCAAAUCCCAGGGCUCAACUCUGGACAGGCGGUGGAAACUACCAAGCUGGAGUACGGUAGGGGCAGAGGGAAUUUCCGGUGGAGCGGUGAAAUGCGUAGAGAUGUGGAGGAACACCGAUGGCGAAGGCAGCCUUCUGGGCCAACACUGACGCUCAUGCACGAAAGCGUGGGGAGCAAACAGG
This 253-nucleotide ribosomal RNA is filed under the name uncultured bacterium. RNAcentral describes it as "partial 16S ribosomal RNA". It matches the Rfam family "Bacterial small subunit ribosomal RNA", at positions 524 to 776 of the family's 1533-position model. The record is from RNAcentral.